GAUGAACGCUGGCGGCGUGCUUAACACAUGCAAGUCGAACGGAAAGGCUCCUGCUUCCCGGGGUACUCGAGUGGCGAGCGGGUGUGUAACACGUGGGUCAUCUGCCUUGCACUUCGGGAUAUGCCGGGGAAACUGGGGCUAAUACCUGAGAGGACGAUGGGUUGGAUGCCAUUGUGCAAAGUUUUUCGGAGUGGGCUGGGCUCGGGGCUUAUCAGCUUGUUGGUGGGGGAAUGGCCUACCAAGGCGUCGACGGAUAGCCGGCCUGAGAGGGGGUACGGCGACAAUGGGCCUGCGAGACGCACCAGACGCCUACGGGAGGCAGUGGUGGGGAACAUGACCCAGUGGGGGCAAGCCUGUGGCGGAGAUGCCGGGUGGGGGAUGACGUUCUUCUGGUGGGAAAGGGCUGUCGCUAGGGACGAAGCGGUAGUGACGGUACCUGGAGAAGAAGCACCGGCUAACUACGUG
This 465-nucleotide ribosomal RNA is filed under the name uncultured bacterium. RNAcentral's name for it is "partial 16S ribosomal RNA". It matches the Rfam family "Bacterial small subunit ribosomal RNA", at positions 28 to 507 of the family's 1533-position model. The record is from RNAcentral.